Molecule: ribosomal RNA, 591 nt
Filed under: Streptomyces sp. SM-23
Lineage: Bacteria; Bacillati; Actinomycetota; Actinomycetes; Kitasatosporales; Streptomycetaceae
Description: bacterial SSU rRNA
Rfam family: Bacterial small subunit ribosomal RNA
Source: RNAcentral
GCGACGACGGGGUAGCCGGCCUGAGAGGGCGACCGGCCACACUGGGACUGAGACACGGCCCAGACUCCUACGGGAGGCAGCAGUGGGGAAUAUUGCACAAUGGGCGAAAGCCUGAUGCAGCGACGCCGCGUGAGGGAUGACGGCCUUCGGGUUGUAAACCUCUUUCAGCAGGGAAGAAGCGAAAGUGACGGUACCUGCAGAAGAAGCGCCGGCUAACUACGUGCCAGCAGCCGCGGUAAUACGUAGGGCGCAAGCGUUGUCCGGAAUUAUUGGGCGUAAAGAGCUCGUAGGCGGCUUGUCACGUCGGAUGUGAAAGCCCGGGGCUUAACCCCGGGUCUGCAUUCGAUACGGGCAGGCUAGAGUGUGGUAGGGGAGAUCGGAAUUCCUGGUGUAGCGGUGAAAUGCGCAGAUAUCAGGAGGAACACCGGUGGCGAAGGCGGAUCUCUGGGCCAUUACUGACGCUGAGGAGCGAAAGCGUGGGGAGCGAACAGGAUUAGAUACCCUGGUAGUCCACGCCGUAAACGUUGGGAACUAGGUGUUGGCGACAUUCCACGUCGUCGGUGCCGCAGCUAACGCAUUAAGUUCCCCGCC